UAACGAAUAUUGGGCAAUGGGCGAAAGCCUGACCCAGCAAUGCCGCGUGCAGGACGAAGUACUUCGGGAUGUAAACUGCUGUCAGGGGUCCGCAAGCGAAGGGGUCCAACAGGCCCUGGAGUUGAGCAGCCCCAGAGGAAGCCUCGACUAACUCUGUGCCAGCAGCCGCGGUAAUACGUAGGAGGCGAGCGUUGUCCGGAUUUACUGGGUAUAACUGGUCCGCCGGCGAAUUGACAAGUCGAGGGUGAAAUCCUUCAGCUUAACUGAAGAGCUGCCGUCGAUACUGUUGAUCUUGAAUACAGGAGAGAGUAACGGAAUUCCAGGUGUAGCGGUGAAAUGCUUAGAUAUCUGGAAGAACACCGGUAGCGAAUGCUGUUGUCUGGCCUUGUAUUGACGCUCAGUGACGAAAGCGUGGGGAUCAAUCAGGAUUAUUUACCCUGGUCGUC
This 446-nucleotide ribosomal RNA is filed under the name uncultured prokaryote. RNAcentral's name for it is "bacterial SSU rRNA". It matches the Rfam family "Bacterial small subunit ribosomal RNA", at positions 355 to 795 of the family's 1533-position model. The record is from RNAcentral.